UUUCCGUAGGUGAACCUGCGGAAGGAUCAUUAGUGAAUUAGGGUGCUCUUAAUUGAGACCCAACUUACACUUUCUAACACUGUGCACAAUUUAACUGAGUGUAAUGCGUUCUGGGAAGAACAAAUUACCUUGGUCCCCUUUUUAAACUCUACAAGUUUAUGAAUGUAAUUAAUCAUAAUAAGAAAAACUUUCAACAACGGAUCUCUUGGCUCUCGCAUCGAUGAAGAACGCAGC
RNAcentral lists this unclassified non-coding RNA (234 nucleotides) under uncultured fungus. RNAcentral's name for it is "sequence contains ITS1, 5.8S rRNA gene". The stretch from base 186 to 234 matches the Rfam family "5.8S ribosomal RNA", at positions 1 to 49 of the family's 154-position model. The record is from RNAcentral. Lineage: Eukaryota; Fungi.